GCUCGUAUGGCGAAAUUGGUAGACGCGGUAGACUCAAAAUCUACUUCUAGCGAUAGAGUUCCGGUUCAAGUCCGGAUACGAGCACCA
This 87-nucleotide transfer RNA is filed under the name Clostridium sp. RNAcentral's name for it is "tRNA-Leu". It matches the Rfam family "tRNA". From Rfam's summary of the family: Transfer RNA (tRNA) molecules are approximately 80 nucleotides in length. Lineage: Bacteria; Bacillati; Bacillota; Clostridia; Eubacteriales; Clostridiaceae. RNAcentral also lists the same sequence under 1 other name. The record is from RNAcentral.